Long non-coding RNA from Thalassophryne amazonica, 158 nucleotides. RefSeq lists it as uncharacterized. The transcript is spliced from 4 exons. The record is from RefSeq and is a predicted model, not a curated record. Lineage: Eukaryota; Metazoa; Chordata; Actinopteri; Batrachoidiformes; Batrachoididae.
UCACUACACGACGCUCUUUCGAUCUGUAAGUAUGUCGAAGAAGACCUGCUAGGAUAAGAGCUAAGCAUGUCGUUCUGCAAUUCGUAUGUGUCCGUAAAUGUUAAUAAAGCCAGUUCACGAAACAAAGGCUGGAUAGUUCAUGAUGACUAACCCGGAAG